GACGAACGCUGGCGGUGUGCUUAACACAUGCAAGUCGAACGGUAAGGCCCUUUCGGGGGUCCACGAGUGGCGAACGGGUGAGUAACACGUGAGUAACCUGCCCUCAUCUCUGGGAUAACAGUCGGAAACGGUUGCUAAUACUGGAUAUGAGCUUGCAAGGCAUCUUGUGGGUUGGAAAGAUUUUUUUGGUUGGGGAUGGACUCGCGGCCUAUCAGCUUGUUGGUGAGGUAGUGGCUCACCAAGGCUUCGACGGGUAGCCGGCCUGAGAGGGCGACCGGCCACAUUGGGACUGAGAUACGGCCCAAACUCCUACGGGAGGCAGCAGUGGGGAAUAUUGCACAAUGGACGGAAGUCUGAUGCAGCAACGCCGCGGGCGGGAGGACGGCCUUCGGGUUGUAAACCGCUUUCAAUUGUGACGAAGCUUUUUGUGACGGUAGCAGUAGAAGAAGCACCGGCUAACUACGUG
Molecule: ribosomal RNA, 466 nt
Filed under: uncultured bacterium
Lineage: Bacteria
Description: partial 16S ribosomal RNA
Rfam family: Bacterial small subunit ribosomal RNA
Source: RNAcentral